Molecule: small nucleolar RNA, 107 nt
Filed under: Dipodomys ordii (Ord's kangaroo rat)
Lineage: Eukaryota; Metazoa; Chordata; Mammalia; Rodentia; Heteromyidae
Description: Small nucleolar RNA U3
Rfam family: Small nucleolar RNA U3
About the family: Small nucleolar RNAs (snoRNAs) are involved in the processing and modification of rRNA in the nucleolus. There are two main classes of snoRNAs: the box C/D class, and the box H/ACA class. U3 snoRNA is a member of the box C/D class.
Source: Rfam by way of RNAcentral
AAGACUAUACUUUCAGGGAUCAUUUCUAUAGUUUGUUAUUAUAUGUGAAUACACAGAUUUUCAGGCGCUAAGCUUUUUGUAUGGAUCACAACUCCUACAUCUAAAGU